GUGGGGAAUUUUGGACAAUGGGCGCAAGCCUGAUCCAGCCAUGCCGCGUGAGUGAAGAAGGCCUUCGGGUUGUAAAGCUCUUUCGGCGGGGACGAAACGGUCCGUGCCAACACCACGGACUAAUGACGGUACUCGCAGAAGAAGCACCGGCUAACUACGUGCCAGCAGCCGCGGUAAUACGUAGGGUGCGGGCGUUAAUCGGAAUUACUGGGCGUAAAGCGUGCGCAGGCGGCUCCUUAAGUCAGAUGUGAAAUCCCCGGGCUUAACCUGGGAACUGCGUUUGAAACUGAGGGGCUUGAGUGUGGAAGAGGGGGGUGGAAUUCCAGGUGUAGCAGUGAAAUGCGUAGAGAUCUGGAGGAACACCGAUGGCGAAGGCAGCCCCCUGGGCUAACACUGACGCUCAUGCACGAAAGCGUGGGGAGCAAACAGGAUUAGAUACCCGAGUAGUCC
RNAcentral lists this ribosomal RNA (450 nucleotides) under uncultured bacterium. RNAcentral describes it as "bacterial SSU rRNA". It matches the Rfam family "Bacterial small subunit ribosomal RNA", at positions 354 to 796 of the family's 1533-position model. The record is from RNAcentral.